UUCUUCGGAGAGUUUGAUCCUGGCUCAGGAUGAACGCUGGCGGCGUGCCUAAUACAUGCAAGUCGAGCGAACUGAUUAGAAGCUUGCUUCUAUGACGUUAGCGGCGGACGGGUGAGUAACACGUGGGCAACCUGCCUGUAAGACUGGGAUAACUCCGGGAAACCGGAGCU
RNAcentral lists this ribosomal RNA (170 nucleotides) under Priestia flexa. RNAcentral's name for it is "Bacillus flexus partial 16S ribosomal RNA". It matches the Rfam family "Bacterial small subunit ribosomal RNA", at positions 1 to 164 of the family's 1533-position model. The record is from RNAcentral. Lineage: Bacteria; Bacillati; Bacillota; Bacilli; Caryophanales; Bacillaceae.